UCCCACUCCUCUGCUUCAGUAGCCCUUGACCAAUGACUGCUAGAAGUUGGAAUAUGAAUACCCCAGCCACGUUGACCCUUGGUGAAUAAUAUGCUGCUUUCUCUGGGAUGCCAAGAGAUUGGCUAGGAAUUGGAUAUUAAGACCAGCUUUGGCACAACAAAUGAAAGGCCUUCCACUGCCAUUUUAGAGGAACUCUAACAAAGGGAAGCCUCCUAUAAACAUUGACCUGACUCUCUGAAAAGGAGGAUUAAUUUUGCUGAACUUGGGAGUCCUGCUGAAGAACUCAUCUAAGAACUUGAGAUCUCUCAAAUCUAGGCCUCAUCUCAGACCACAGCAUACUUUCUUUCCUAAAUAGUCUCUGAGUGGGAGGAUCUCAAUGUAGUACUGACGUGGGUGUGAACAUUCGGUGUUUAAAGUCAUGAGAAGCAACUUAAAUUAAAUUGCCUUGAAGUUUUUUAAGCUUUGAAAUUUCUAUUUUGGAAUUUAAAAAAAGGAAUGGGAAAAGAAAAAGAGAAGCAGUUUGUUCACUGGGUAGGUUUUUGUCCACCUGCUUCCCAUACUCCCUCCCCCCAACUCACUGGGAACCAACAAUCAUUUUAUUGGCAGUAGCACAACA
Molecule: long non-coding RNA, 616 nt
Organism: Oryctolagus cuniculus (rabbit)
Lineage: Eukaryota; Metazoa; Chordata; Mammalia; Lagomorpha; Leporidae
Source: RefSeq, a predicted model, not a curated record